RNAcentral lists this long non-coding RNA (218 nucleotides) under Panax ginseng (ginseng). Its description in RNAcentral is "long non-coding RNA (PGIN_LNC018133)". The record is from RNAcentral. Lineage: Eukaryota; Viridiplantae; Streptophyta; Magnoliopsida; Apiales; Araliaceae.
UUUAUGGAGCCGUGGACAACCUCCUGAGUAAGCUGGUAGACUCGCUCGCAUGAUGGUGCGCCUGACUGCACGACACUGUUCGCCAUGCACCCCUCUACGAUCCGCUUGAAGAAGUCGUCAGAUAAUGAAGGGCCAGUGCCUGAUCCACUCGCACCACUACCUCCGGUGGGUGGGCGACGUUGAGAUCUCGCAGCAGGAACUAUAGUGUAGGCUGGGAC